This 488-nucleotide ribosomal RNA is filed under the name uncultured bacterium. RNAcentral describes it as "bacterial SSU rRNA". It matches the Rfam family "Bacterial small subunit ribosomal RNA", at positions 30 to 507 of the family's 1533-position model. The record is from RNAcentral.
AUUGAACACUGGCGGCAUGCCUAACACAUGCAAGUCGAACGGUAACGCGGAGAGCUUGCUCCCGGGCGACGAGUGGCGGACGGGUGAGUAAUACUUAGGAAUCUGCCCAGUAGUCGGGGGACAACUCGAGGAAACUCGAGCUAAUACCGCAUACGCCCUACGGGGGAAAGCGGGGGAUCUUCGGACCUCGCGCUAUUGGAUGAGCCUAAGUCGGAUUAGCUUGUAGGUAGGGUAACGGCCUACCUAGGCGACGAUCCGUAGCUGGUCUGAGAGGAUGAUCAGCCACACUGGGACUGAGACACGGCCCAGACUCCUACGGGAGGCAGCAGUGGGGAAUAUUGGACAAUGGGCGCAAGCCUGAUCCAGCAAUGCCGCGUGUGUGAAGAAGGCCUGCGGGUUGUAAAGCACUUUUAUCGGGAAAGAAAAACCCAGGGUUAAUACCCCUGGCAUUGACGGUACCCGAAGAAUAAGCACCGGCUAACUCCGUG